UACGUAGGGUGCAAGCGUUAAUCGGAAUUACUGGGCGUAAAGCGUGCGCAGGCUGUUGAGUAAGACAGAUGUGAAAUCCCUGGGCUUAACCUAGGAACUGCAUUUGUGACUGCUCAGCUAGAGUGCGGCAGAGGGGGAUGGAAUUCCGCGUGUAGCAGUGAAAUGCGUAGAUAUGCGGAGGAACACCGAUGGCGAAGGCAAUCCCCUGGGCCUGCACUGACGCUCAUGCACGAAAGCGUGGGGAGCAAACAGG
This 253-nucleotide ribosomal RNA is filed under the name uncultured bacterium. RNAcentral's name for it is "partial 16S ribosomal RNA". It matches the Rfam family "Bacterial small subunit ribosomal RNA", at positions 524 to 776 of the family's 1533-position model. The record is from RNAcentral.